CGGGCGGUUUGGGGCUGUGGGCGGGCAUGGGCGGUGUCGGCUCCGUGAUGCGGAUCCUGGCCGCGCCGCGGCGGGCUCGCUCCUUCCGCUGUCUCCCCGCUCGGGACGAGCCCAGGGAAGCGGUUGCGGCCCGCCGGCCGGGGCCAUGUUGGCGGCGGGCCAGGGCGGCCAAGCCGUCCUUCGUGUCCUACAUCAGCCCGGAGCCUGUCGUGAACAUCUCUGCUGUUCUCAUGACAUGA
This 239-nucleotide long non-coding RNA is filed under the name Manacus vitellinus (golden-collared manakin). RNAcentral's name for it is "lncRNA (ENSMVIG00005010379.1)". The record is from RNAcentral. Lineage: Eukaryota; Metazoa; Chordata; Aves; Passeriformes; Pipridae.